UACGUAGGGUGCGAGCGUUAAUCGGAAUUACUGGGCGUAAAGCGUGCGCAGGCGGUUUUGUAAGCCAGAUGUGAAAUCCCCGGGCUUAACCUGGGAAUGGCAUUUGGGACUGCAAGGCUGGAGUUUGGCAGAGGAGACUGGAAUUCCUGGUGUAGCAGUGAAAUGCGUAGAUAUCAGGAGGAACACCGGUGGCGAAGGCGGGUCUCUGGGCAGUGAACUGACGCUGAGGAGCGAAAGCGUGGGGAGCGAACAGG
Molecule: ribosomal RNA, 254 nt
Filed under: uncultured bacterium
Lineage: Bacteria
Description: partial 16S ribosomal RNA
Rfam family: Bacterial small subunit ribosomal RNA
Source: RNAcentral